AUGAGAGUAAAAAAGUUAAUUCAACAUGUUAACUUUCAAAUUUGUGUCACUUACUUGUAUAUUUUUCUGCAUAUUAAAAAAAAUGUUUCAAUGGACUCCUUUUUUACAGGUUUUUUUUGGGGGGUUUUCCUGUCCUUAGCCCUGCUCCUGUAUCACAACCCCACAAAAGAAAAACAGAAUCCAGAUUUUGUGAGAUAAGCGAUCUCUCCCUACCAAUCCACUAUUGUACUAAUCACUGGGGAUACAGCGAGGUGCCUGGGAUAAUCCCUCAAGGAGUUUCUAAUCUAAUGGAAGAGACAGUAUACAAACAGACCUAUGCAAGGCAAGAUAUAUACAAGAUACAUGAACUAAUUAAAGGAGGG
Molecule: long non-coding RNA, 362 nt
Filed under: Monodelphis domestica (gray short-tailed opossum)
Lineage: Eukaryota; Metazoa; Chordata; Mammalia; Didelphimorphia; Didelphidae
Description: lncRNA (ENSMODG00000043510.1)
Source: RNAcentral